Molecule: long non-coding RNA, 1517 nt
Filed under: Homo sapiens (human)
Lineage: Eukaryota; Metazoa; Chordata; Mammalia; Primates; Hominidae
Description: non-protein coding lnc-SEC16B-2:8
Source: RNAcentral
GCAGCGGCCGGCACUACCGCGCUGCGAUUUGCGCAGAGCUGAAGAAGCCCCUGACCAUUGAAGAGGUGGCCCCCGCCCCGUCGGGCCUCACGAGGUCAGAGUUGAUGUCCAUUUCUGUGGAGUUAACUUUGGUGAUAUUUUGAUCUGCCGUGAUCAAUAUCAGGAAAGGCCCCAUCUUCCCUUCACACCUGGUAAUAUAGCUGCUGCUGGAAGUGACGAGAAGUGCAAGCUGGCGAUGCAGAGGGGUGCGCAGUCCAGCGUGAACUACAGUCAGGGCAGCCUGAAGGAUGCAGUCAAUGAUGCCUUCCUUCAUGUGAUACAGGGGAAAUCCGUGGGCAAGGUGCUUCUCGCUCUUAAAUAAAUCCUUGCCUGAGCAGCAAAGUUAACAUGUCCAGAUCAAAACUCCACAUCUUUCCCCAAAACCUGAUUUCCCUUCUGUGUUUCCAAAGGUGUUACCACUUUCCUUACUAAUCCAGGUUUAAAAUCUUGGAGUCACCUUUGAUUCUGUUUACUAAUUGCUCCUAAUUAAUAUGAUUAUAUAGUUUAUUGUCCAAACCUUUUCGAGAGUAAAAGGGUGCCAUUAGUAAUUACAUCAGGAAAACAUAUCCCAGGCAAACCAGGAUAUAUGGUCAGCCUACUUGAUGCAUUAUGAAAUGCGGUGAUUGCCGAGUUCUGUCAUUCUCACCUCUAAGAUAUCUCUCAUGUCCAUAUCCUCUUUUCCAUUCUGACUAAUUAAGCCUCAACUGCUAUUACCAGUGACCUUCUAACUGCUUUUCCUACCUUUAAGCUAUUCUCACCCCCUCCAUCCUUGUGAUGCAUUAUUGCCAUCGUGAUCUUCCCGAAGCAUAGCUCUGACUAUGGCCCAUCUCAGAAAACCUACAGUGGCUCACCAUUGCCUGAUGGUGGAGUUCAGAGCCCUUGAGCUAGCAUUUCAUUAUGACCGUGAUUUUUCCCCGCACCACUUUCCAGCCUUGUGGUCCACAAUUCCACUGGGCCUUAAGUAUGUACUGAACUUUCCUGCCUCCCUCAUUUUGCUCUGCUUGUGCAAUUUUUUCCACCCUCCAUCUCUGUCAAACGUAAGCCUUCCUGACCUCUAAGACCUACCUUUGUCAUGUACCUUUACCCUCAGGCAAGGAGCAAUCUCUUCUCUUCCUCUUCUACCUUGCUGUAGCUUCUCCCCAAGGAUUUAUCACAUUCUGCCUUGAAUCAUAGGGAACAGCAUGUGUAGUGGAAUGAACACAGGCCUCUGAAUCCAAGAUACGAGUUUAAAUCCCAGCUUUGGAGGUGGUUACUUAAAGUCUCAGUGCCUUCAUUCUUCUUCCUAUAUAAAGUAGAUAUUACAAUAUCUAACUUACAGAGUCAUUGGGAGCUAUACAUGCAGCGAUUGGGUAAAGCACCUGGCACAUGGCAAGCGAUUAGCAAAUGCUGGUUACUUCUACUUCUUUCUCUUCCCUUUUCCCAGUCUAUCAUAAUUUCCUUGAGAGCAGGCACCAUGUCUUAUUUACCCUUGUAUUUCC